Molecule: ribosomal RNA, 431 nt
Filed under: uncultured bacterium
Lineage: Bacteria
Description: partial 16S ribosomal RNA
Rfam family: Bacterial small subunit ribosomal RNA
Source: RNAcentral
AACGAACGCUGGCUGCAGGCUUAACACAUGCAAGUCGAGCGCCCCGCAAGGGGAGCGGCAGACGGGUGAGUAACGCGUGGGAACGUACCUUUUGGUUCGGAACAACUCCGGGAAACUGGAGCUAAUACCGGAUAAGCCCUAACGGGGAAAGAUUUAUCGCCGAAAGAUCGGCCCGCGUCUGAUUAGCUAGUUGGUGAGGUAACGGCUCACCAAGGCGACGAUCAGUAGCUGGUCUGAGAGGAUGAUCAGCCACACUGGGACUGAGACACGGCCCAGACUCCUACGGGAGGCAGCAGUGGGGAAUAUUGGACAAUGGGCGCAAGCCUGAUCCAGCCAUGCCGCGUGAGUGAUGAAGGCCUUAGGGUUGUAAAGCUCUUUUGUCCGGGAAGAUAAUGACUGUACCGGAAGAAUAAGCCCCGGCUAACUUCGUG